CAGUCGCCGCGGGAAUACGGAGGGUGCAAGCGUUAUCCGGAUUUAUUGGGUUUAAAGGGUCCGUAGGCGGACUUAUAAGUCAGUGGUGAAAGCCUGUCGCUUAACGAUAGAACUGCCAUUGAUACUGUAAGUCUUGAGUAUAUUUGAGGUAGCUGGAAUAAGUAGUGUAGCGGUGAAAUGCAUAGAUAUUACUUAGAACACCAAUUGCGAAGGCAGGUUACCAAGAUAUAACUGACGCUGAGGGACGAAAGCGUGGGUAGCGAACAGGAUUAGAUACCCGCGUAGUCCCUGUCUCUUAUAC
Molecule: ribosomal RNA, 301 nt
Filed under: uncultured bacterium
Lineage: Bacteria
Description: partial 16S ribosomal RNA
Rfam family: Bacterial small subunit ribosomal RNA
Source: RNAcentral